RNAcentral lists this ribosomal RNA (428 nucleotides) under Globorotalia inflata. RNAcentral describes it as "bacterial SSU rRNA". It matches the Rfam family "Eukaryotic small subunit ribosomal RNA", at positions 1242 to 1482 of the family's 1831-position model. The record is from RNAcentral. Lineage: Eukaryota; Foraminifera; Rotaliida; Globorotaliidae.
GACAGGCAAUAUAUUAGCAUAAAGAUUCGUCUUUAGCGCUAAUUGUUAAAUAUGCUAGUCCUUUCAUGAUUAUGUGAUAGGUGGUGCAUGGCCGUUCUUAGUUCGUGGAGUGAUCUGUCUGCUUAAUUGCGUUUCACUAAGGGCCCAUAAAUUCAAGGUAUGUUAGCAAAUGCUGCUCUAUUGACCCCUAAUAGGCUUAACUGUCUUUAGCGCGUGUCUCUACGAGUUCUUUAAAGCACUGCGCAUGCUGUUGGGUCCUGAAAGCAACGAACGUGACCGCAACGUCUUGUUGCCUCUCUAUAAUACCUUCUUAUUUUUAAUAAGAGUAUUUACCUGAGGCUAUUUUAAAACUAGACGGACCGCUGUUUCUUUCUUAAACCAGAGGAAGGUUGCGGCAAUAACAGGUCUGUGAUGCCCUUAGAUGUUCC